CCUAGUGUAGCGGUGAAAUGCGUAGAUAUUAGGAGGAACACCAGUGGCGAAGGCGGCUUACUGGACUGUAACUGACGUUGAGGCUCGAAAGCGUGGGGAGCAAACAGGAUUAGAUACCCUGGUAGUCCACGCCGUAAACGAUGAUUACUAGGUGUUGGUUGGUAAGACCAAUCGGUGCCCGUCGCAAACGCAGUAAGUAAUCCACCUGGGGAGUACGUUCGCAAGAAUGAAACUCAAAGGAAUUGACGGGGACCCGCACAAGCGGUGGAGCAUGUGGUUUAAUUCGAAGCAACGCGAAGAACCUUACCAAAUCUUGACAUCCUUCUGACCUAGUAUGUAAAGUACUAUCUCUUCGGAGCAGGAGUGACAGGUGGUGCAUGGUUGUCGUCAGCUCGUGUCGUGAGAUGUUGGGUUAAGUCCCGCAACGAGCGCAACCCUUAUCUUUAGUAGCCAGCAGUAAGAUGGGAACUCUAGAGAGACUGCCGGGGAUAACCCGGAGGAAGGUGGGGAUGACGUCAAAUCAUCAUGCCCCUUAUGAUUUGGGCUACACACGUGCUACAAUGGCGUAAACAAAGGGAAGCGACCCCGUGAGGGUGAGCAAAUCUCAAAAAUAACGUCUCAGUUCGGAUUGUAGUCUGCAACUCGACUACAUGAAGCUGGAAUCGCUAGUAAUCGCGAAUCAGCAUGUCGCGGUGAAUACGUUCCCGGGUCUUGUACACACCGCCCGUCACACCAUGGGAGUCGUGAAUGCCCGAAGUCGGUGACCUAACCGUAAGGGAGGAGCCGCCGAAGGCAGGCAUGAUAACUGGGGUG
RNAcentral lists this ribosomal RNA (813 nucleotides) under uncultured bacterium. RNAcentral's name for it is "bacterial SSU rRNA". It matches the Rfam family "Bacterial small subunit ribosomal RNA", at positions 669 to 1482 of the family's 1533-position model. The record is from RNAcentral.